AAAACAGCCAAUAGAGUGUACCUGAUGUUGAGAAAAGCAUCGCUCCUGCUGGUAACAUCAACUCCCUCCAAUGAGGACAAAGCAUGAGGUUCAUAAAAAUGAAUCUGCAACAUACACUUACCUCUCUAUCAAACACCAGCAUAGACAUCAAGGCUGAUACAAUAGAUUCCACAAAUUCUUGCAGAGCAUCAGGUUCAUAUGCUCCUGCAAGUGCAAAGCAGGCAUAGCUUGCAGCAUCACGGGUGUUAGUUCCCACUAAGUCUGGUUCAUCACACUCCAGAGCUUCAAGUAUGAUUGGUACCACUUCAUGGAGUUGCUGUUGUAAAACUCCCAUGCGACCCAAUUCUGCAAAAACAAUGCAUCUUCUGCGCCAUUCCCCAUCAGACUCUGGUGGUGUGAACAGUUGCAGAAUUGAAGGGAGUACAUCUUCUGCCACCUCGGGAAAUUCUUCCAACAGUCUACUGGUACCAUCUGCAGCUAACGACCUAAAAUAUAACAUGACUGAACUUAACACCUCUUUCAACCGCUGAAACUGUAAGUCAGUCGCAUAUGAGAAACUUUACUGGGGUUACAAUAAAUCUGAACCACA
Molecule: non-coding RNA, 589 nt
Organism: Zootermopsis nevadensis
Lineage: Eukaryota; Metazoa; Arthropoda; Insecta; Blattodea; Termopsidae
Source: RefSeq, a predicted model, not a curated record